AUUGAACGCUGGCGGCGUGCUUAACACAUGCAAGUCGAUCGGUAACAGGUGUAGCAAUACAUGCUGACGAGAGGCGGACGGGUGAGUAAUGCUUGGGAAUCUGCCUAUUAGUGGGGGACAACCCGGGGAAACUCGGGCUAAUACCGCAUACGCUCUACGGAGGAAAGCCGGGGACCGCAAGGCCUGGCGCUAAUAGAUGAGCCCAAGUCGGAUUAGCUAGUUGGUAGGGUAACGGCCUACCAAGGCGACAAUCCGUAGCUGGUCUGAGAGGACGACCAGCCACACCGGAACUGAGACACGGUCCGGACUCCUACGGGAGGCAGCAGUGGGGAAUCUUGCGCAAUGGGCGAAAGCCUGACGCAGCGACGCCGCGUGAGGGAUGACGGCCUGG
This 391-nucleotide ribosomal RNA is filed under the name uncultured bacterium. RNAcentral describes it as "bacterial SSU rRNA". It matches the Rfam family "Bacterial small subunit ribosomal RNA", at positions 29 to 419 of the family's 1533-position model. The record is from RNAcentral.